This is a long non-coding RNA of Lytechinus variegatus (green sea urchin), 121 nucleotides long. RefSeq lists it as uncharacterized. The transcript has 7 exons. NCBI's taxonomy places the organism in Eukaryota, Metazoa, Echinodermata, Echinoidea, Temnopleuroida, Toxopneustidae. The record is from RefSeq and is a predicted model, not a curated record.
UAGUUGGCAAAGGAUUGGGCUUCGUCUUGGGUGGCGAUGAGAUUGACAAAAGAUUUAACCCGGGUGGCGAUGUCAUUGACAAAAGGUUCAGCCCGGGUGGCAACAUAGUUGGCAAAGGGUA